UGCGUAGGCGGAUUAAUAAGUCAGUGGUGAAAACCUGCAGCUUAACUGUAGAACUGCCAUUGAUACUGUUAGUCUUGAGUACGGUCAAGGUAGGCGGAAUGUGUAAUGUAGCGGUGAAAUGCUUAGAUAUUACACAGAACACCGAUUGCGAAGGCAGCUUACUGGGCCAUUACUGACGCUGAGGCACGAAAGCGUGGGGAGCGAACAGGAUUAGAUACCCUGGUAGUCC
Molecule: ribosomal RNA, 229 nt
Filed under: uncultured bacterium
Lineage: Bacteria
Description: partial 16S ribosomal RNA
Rfam family: Bacterial small subunit ribosomal RNA
Source: RNAcentral